CCUACGGGAGGCUGCAGUGAGGAAUAUUGGUCAAUGGGCGCUAGCCUGAACCAGCCAAGUAGCGUGAAGGAUGACUGCCCUAUGGGUUGUAAACUUCUUUUAUAUGGGAAUAAAGUGCAGUAUGUAUACUGCUUUGCAUGUACCUUCUGAAUAAGGAUCGGCUAACUCCGUGCCAGCAGCCGCGGUAAUACGGAGGAGCCGAGCGUUAUACGGAUUUAUUGGGUUUAAGGGGAGCGUAGGCGGGUUGUUAAGUCAGUUGUGAAAGGUUGCGGCUCAACCGUAACAGUGCAGUUGAUACGGGCAUCGUUGAGUACAGUAGAGGUAGGCAGAAUUCGUGGUGUAGCGGUGAAAUGCUGAGAUAUGACGAAGAACGCCGAUUGCGAAGGCAGCCUGCGGGACUGUAACUGACGCUGAUGCUCGAAAGUGUGGGUAUCAAACAGGAUUAGAUACCCCAGUAGUC
RNAcentral lists this ribosomal RNA (460 nucleotides) under uncultured bacterium. Its description in RNAcentral is "partial 16S ribosomal RNA". It matches the Rfam family "Bacterial small subunit ribosomal RNA", at positions 338 to 795 of the family's 1533-position model. The record is from RNAcentral.